This 975-nucleotide long non-coding RNA is filed under the name Sinocyclocheilus rhinocerous. Its description in RNAcentral is "lncRNA (ENSSRHG00000048680.1)". The record is from RNAcentral. Lineage: Eukaryota; Metazoa; Chordata; Actinopteri; Cypriniformes; Cyprinidae.
AUUGGCCGAUGGUUUGCAGAACACGUUUCCACGGAACAAGGAAAUUUACACCCCAUGAACGAGCAGAGAACAUUCAGUGUGGUGGCCAGAGAGAUUUUGACUCAGUUUCAGGUGUGGCAGAAGGCCUGCUAUAGCAGGAACAUUGAGUGGGGCCCGAUUACAGCGAAGGUUAAGUCCUCUUCAUUUGUUCCGUCUGAUGAAAUUAUCCAUUUUGAUUACCUGAAAUGAAGAUAAAGACACGUUUUCAGAGUGUAUUGUGCUUUACUGUUACACAGAUCAUUUCUGCAUUGCCACAGUUGUAUGGACGUGAGGCAGAGGUGAUCAUACGAUGUACUAAAAUGCUACACAACCGCAGGGAUUACCUUCGAAGGAGAGCAAAGACUCAUAUUACUGUCCUUAAAAAUGGAGAAAGCCCCUGUAUCUCUAAGUGCACUCAGUGUUGUGACAAGUAUCACUGCCCAUUUUGUGAGACCUGGGUCUACAAGCCAAGAGAGUUAUGGAGCGUUGUUAACCACGUCCAGAAUCAUCUGAAGUUGGCUGUCCAGCAGGAUGGUGUGUAUAGUGCUUCCAAAUUCAUUAAAAUGUUAUUUUGUCAAGGCAUAUUAAUUCACUCUUGAUUUACUUUUUUCAGAUUUCGCUAUUGUCAAGUGUAACUUAAAGUGCAGAGAAUAUGCCCAUUUUCACUGCUGCUACUGUUCUGCCACUGUUCUACGAAGAGGCCAGUUAAAAUGUCAUCUCACAAAAUGCAAGCAGAAGUUCAAUGCAGAAGAGGAAUUUGAAGGAGCAUGCUCAUUUGAGGAAAGUCCUGAACAUGAGUAGUUUAUUUAUUUCUGAUACUGUUGAUUCACUAGUUCAUAUAUUUAUUUCCCUGUUAGCUACAGGUAACACUCACAAUUGUAGUAUUUGGUGGAUUAUGAAACUAUGUUGUGGAAAUAAACAUUUACUAAGAAUGUAUCUGCUUCUUCUUUCGGAACU